GCCUCCAUAGCUCAAUGGAUAGAGCACCGGCCUUCUAAGCCGUAGGUUGUGGGUUCGAGUCCCGCUGGAGGCG
This 73-nucleotide transfer RNA is filed under the name Actinomycetaceae bacterium. RNAcentral's name for it is "tRNA-Arg". It matches the Rfam family "tRNA". Rfam says of the family: Transfer RNA (tRNA) molecules are approximately 80 nucleotides in length. Their secondary structure includes four short double-helical elements and three loops (D, anti-codon, and T loops). The record is from RNAcentral. Lineage: Bacteria; Bacillati; Actinomycetota; Actinomycetes; Actinomycetales; Actinomycetaceae.